Bison bison bison is the source of this 68-nucleotide small nucleolar RNA. Its record names the gene SNORD16. It matches the Rfam family "Small nucleolar RNA SNORD16". From Rfam's summary of the family: U16 is a member of the C/D class of snoRNA which contain the C (UGAUGA) and D (CUGA) box motifs. U81 acts as a guanine methylation guide and is found in an intron of ribosomal proteins L1 gene in animals. This snoRNA was independently named MBII-98 in mouse. NCBI's taxonomy places the organism in Eukaryota, Metazoa, Chordata, Mammalia, Artiodactyla, Bovidae. The record is from Ensembl.
UGCAGUGAUGUCGUAAUUGGCGUCUUACUGGGUUCUCAGCGACAGUUGCCGAAAAUUCUUACUGAGCA